This 31564-nucleotide long non-coding RNA is filed under the name Physcomitrium patens. RNAcentral's name for it is "long non-coding RNA (PPAT_LNC000703)". Lineage: Eukaryota; Viridiplantae; Streptophyta; Bryopsida; Funariales; Funariaceae. The record is from RNAcentral.
GUCUGCACCACAUAUCACUUCCACCUCCUCCGUCUCCUACUCUCCAUUACCCAUCCCCCCUUCCACCCUCCAUUCCAAUCAUCACCAUCCACAUCCACAACUCUCUGCACGCCAAAAUGUAAUUCUCCAAUAAAUAUAACCAUAGCACCACCUCGUCCCUAAAUCUGUUCAGAAUCUAGUGAUUACCGUAUCUCUCUCCAUGGUGCACAUCUUAACCAUGUAGUCUCCACUACUUUACUACACAACAGAGUUCUGAAAAAAUCAAGUGGUAUCGGACAUUCCAAUUCCUACGCAACCAAAAUAAACACAGAAGACCGCCUCCUACCCACUGCUUCCUCUAACUCUCGGCCCUCCCCCUCCUCCCCUACCCCUUCUCCUACACCACACCUACUGGCAGGUCACUCCAUUCCCAUCCGACCACUCGAUCGGCUCCUCGCCGCCUGUGGCUCCACAUUUCUGGACCAUGGUCAUGCAGCCAAAAUCCUGCCGCCUUUACUUUAACACUAGGUCGACACGCCUGCGCCCAUCCCAACACAAUCCCAUCGUCAGCCCCGCAACACAAAUCCCGCCACAAAUCACCCUCCCACCACCACUUCCUUCACGCAUCGCACGCACCUACUACCCGCCCCACAUCUCUACCCAUCAUGCGCUACCUCGACACCGCUCUUACCACUACUCUCCACCAUCUAAGCACCCCCUCCCCUCCCCCCGCACCCUCCGACCCCCCAUCAACAUCCAUGCUGGUAAUAUUUGCGANNNNNNNNNNNNNNNNNNNNNNNNNNNNNNNNNNNNNNNNNNNNNNNNNNNNNNNNNNNNNNNNNNNNNNNNNNNNNNNNNNNNNNNNNNNNNNNNNNNNCGCCUCGCCCCACCGGCGUCGGCCCGUACCGGCUGUCCCCGCGCCCCCCGUAUCCGCUCCCUCCUCCCGGACUCCCACCCCCGUAUCCUCCCUGGCUGUACCCCGAUCCGUAGUUGCCCCCGCCGCGACCGCCUCCGCCGAACCCCCCGCCAGCCCGCCCCGACCCCGCCGACAGCUCCUUCGGAAUCGCCUUCUUCACCUCCACCAUCUUGUCGUUCAGCUCGUGGAACGACUUCUGGAUCACGUUCUCAACUGCAUCCUCAGAAUCAAAAGUGAUGAAGCCAAACCCCCGAGGCCUUUGCGUAUUGUGGUCAUACAUAACAACCACGUCUGUAAUAGUACCAAACUGCUCGAAAUACUUUUUGAAGUCAUCCUCUGUAACUGUCGAGGCUAAGCCCCCCACAAAUAUCUUCUUUGUCCUAGUGUGGGAUGUUGCAGGCCCUUGGCCACCCACGCUGUUGCUCCUAGGUAUACUCUGCUGUUCGUCUCUCGGCACAGCUUUUUUCGCUUCCACCUAGAAUGGGAAAAAAAAAUAUUUAACAAAGACACGCUACACAAAGUUAUACAACUGCCACACAACCUCAUGCCACCAACCACCAUCACCACACGCACUCCCGCAUGCCACCCCCCUCCCAUGCAUUCAACUCCACCUCGAUCCCCCUUCGCCCGACACCUACCGCCCCCCUCCCUCCCUCCCACCCUCGCGCCCUACCGCACUGACCUCACCACGCCACCGGCCCUCCCCUCCCCUCCCCGAGUCCAAGACAGAGCGCUUACCGUUCUUCCGUCGAUGGUGUGCUUCUCGCCGGCCACCCGAUCGGCCACGCUCGGGUCCGCGAAUAUCACGAACCCGAACCCCCGCGCGCGCCCCGUCGCGCGGUCCUUCAUGAUCACCGUCUCCGCCACCUCGCCAUAGCUCUUGAAGUAAUCGCGCAGCUUCUCCUCCGUCGUCUCCCAAGAGAUGCCGCCGAUGAACAGCUUGCCCUGAUCGGAGUCCAUGGCCGCCGACCCGUCCUGGUCCGCCAGACUUCCCGCCCUCCUAACUCCCGCUGAAAUGAUCAGAAAAAUCGGACUCCACAAAACCCAUAUGCCCCUCGCAUACACAGAGGCUCAAAUACCCUUACGACAAGAUCAAAACAAGAGCAGCGGCAUCGACAAUUCCCAUGCAACGCGCGAACCAACAGGCCGCGGCGUAGCAGGGGAGGGAGGGAGCGGACGCGAGAGCCUAGGGUUAGCAGGAGACUGGAGCUCCGAGGAGCACUGAUUCAAAGACGGGGAGAGGGAGGGGCAGCCAAGAAGGCAAGAGUCGCGACGGGAAGGGAAGGGGAGGGAAGGCCAGUCCCCCCCCCCCUGGCUUGGGUUUCGCGAACGUCGGGAUCGCAUGAAGAUUUGGGCAGGUUCAUUCAUUGAUUACCAUUUCCUCUUACGGGGCAUUCACGCAAUUCUUUGUGCUCUCGGGGCAAUUGUGAAGCACAAUCGCCCUUGAUCACGAAUUUCGCUCUGUCUGUCUAGUUAUGUUCUUUCUGGUAUUCCUUUUUGGGUGUUGGAGAGUAACGGCAUUUUGCAAAAAAAUUCAACAUUCAUAACAUUUCAUGGAACCAUUGUGGGUUUGCUUUUAUUAUAACUAGAGGAAUAAUAUCUUUAUUUCUUUGUCUACCAAGCUUAUUAAAUUACAAAGGAAUCACUAUAUAUAUAUAUAUAUAUAUAUAUCUCCAUUAAUUUUAUGUAUCAAAUAAAUUUAAACAAAGUAUUUUUGUAAAAAAUUAUACAAUUUUCUACAAUAUAGAUGGUAUGAUCAUUAAUGGAUUUUUUUCUUUAAAGAUUACAAAUGUUCAAAUUACAUUUUAAUUUUAAAAAAUAAUAUGUAUAUUAAAAUUAAGAUUUUUUAUUUUUAUUUUUUUAAUAUAUAUUUAAGUCUUUUAUAUUAUUUUCAUUAUGAAAAUAUAUAUUAAAUAUCAACAUAUGUUAUUAAAUUUUUGUAAAGAAGAAAUUUAAUAUAGUCAUUUUUGUAUAAAUGUCACAAACAUACAUAUUUAUUCUAAUAAUUACUUAUAUGAUUAAGUAGAAAUAAGUAAAUAUAGAUUAAUUUCAUAAUAUCUUCUAGAAAAGCUUCUUAGAAGCAUCAUAGAUAUGGUUUUGACUUUACAUGUGUUUGUAGUUAAUAGGUAGGUUAGAAAUUUUGUCAACAAGUUAACCACAAGCUAUAUAUACUGGUAGCUUAUGAAACAAGCUUAUUAUAUGGCACACAUAUAGAAAACUUACUUUGUAAGACAUAUGUCUAGCAAAGUCAAUACACAUUGGAGGACUUAUAGAACAUCGUGACAUAACUCUUAGUUAGAUAGUAUAUGUGGAGGUAAGAGUGAAGUCUUGCUUUACUCAUGUCAAAGCCUUUUUAGUUCUUUGUCCUAUUUUUAGACUUUUUAAUCUACUUGUCUUUAGCAAUAGCCAUUCUAGUUCAAUAUAUUACCAUCUUUGAGUGAUUUCCUAGUCUUUUCAAGUAGUACAAGAAUGUAUUGAGAUUCUCUUUCUUUGAGGUUCAUAUUCUUGAUAAUUUGAUAAAAGUGUUAACUUAUUAUUCUUGUCUUGUUUUAGAAAUGAGUAGUUUAUCCGACUUUUAUUAUUGUAUUUAAAAAAUUGUACCUAUAAACAAACCGUUUAGUUUUUUAAUAUUGAUUUUUUUCUUAAAAAAAGUAAUUUUUUUUUAUGGAAUUUUUUAUUUGAUAUUAAAGGUUGCAGAUUACCUUCUUCUAAUUUAACUUUUUGAAUUUGUUUGAGUUAUCUAUAAAAGAAAAAGAUUAUAGAUACAACUAUCAAUAAAAUUGAGAAUAGAUGUGUAUCAUGGACAUAUAUAUUCAUUCUAAUAUUUACUUAUAUGAUUAAGUAAAAAUAGAUAAAAGUAGAAUUAUUUCAUAAUAUUUUUUAGAAAAAGCUUCGUAGAAGCUUAAUGGAUGUUAUUUUCACUUUACAUAGGUUUGUAGUUGAUUGAUAGGUUAGAAACUUGGUCAAUAAGUUAACCUCAUGUUGGUAGCUUCAAAAAUAAGCUAAUUAUGUGGUCCACAUAUAGAAAACUUACCUUGCAAGUUAAGAUACAUAUCUUGCAAAGUUAAUACAUUUUGGAGGUCUUGUAGGACAUUGCCACAUAGCUCUUAGUUAAGAAUAUGUAUGGAAGCAAAAAUAAAGCCUUCUUCACUCUUAUCAAUGCCUUUCUAGUCUUUAGUCUUGUUUCAAGACUUUCUAGUCUUUUUAUCUUUGGCAAUAACCAUUCUAAUUUAAUACUAUAUCAUCUUUGAAUGACUUUCUAAUUCUUUUGAGUGAUAUAAGAGUGUAUUUAAGAUUUCUUUAUUUGAGAUUCAUAUCCUUGAUAGUUUAGCAAGAAUUCUAACUCAUUAUUCUUAUUUUUUUAGAAGUGAGUGGAAUAUCUCACUUCUACUAUUGUAUAUUAAAGGUUGCAGAUUAUCCACCUAUAAAUAAACAAUUUGAUUUUUUAAUACUAAUUUUUUCCUUAAAAAGAGCAGAUUAUCUUUCUUUAUGGAAAUUUUCAUUUUAUAUUAGAGAUUGUAAAUUACCUUCUUCUAAUUUAAUUUUUUAGAUUUAUUAAAUUAUUUAAAAUAGAAGGAAAAAUUAUAAAUGUCAUACUUAGCAGAAGUGAGAAUAUAUUUACAAAUAUUAUACAUCUUCACAAAUUUGUCAAUAUUCUUAGCAUGAAAAUUUUACACAUCACUAGUGCCAACCAAAGAAACAUUAAUCCUAUAUCUAUAAAAGAAGUUCAAAGUCUACAAUAAGAAGUUGUAUAGUUGAAAAAAAUAAGUAAAUUGACCUCACAACCAAGUCUAGAAAGUUUUGUUUCUAUAAGUGCAAUAAAGUCAAGGAUUAGUAUGCUCGAAAAGUUUGAUGGAAUAAGAUCAAAAUUUCACGGAUUUUUGCAAUAAAUCAAGCUCUAUCUAAGGUUGCAUUUCUUCUAAUACCUUAAUGGAUUUAUUCAAGUUGGAUUUAUAGACUCAUUUUUAUUUGGAAGUGCUUUCUUUUGCUUUACACCUUUGAUGAAAAAAGAUUUACAACUCCUUUAUGAUUUCAAUUCAUUCCUAGAAAUGUUUAUCGCCACAUUCAAAGAGAAUAAUUGAGAAAGAGUAGUAGAGACCAAGCUCUUAUUUUUAUGAUAAGAAUAAUAAUUAGCCACUAUAUAUGCUAUUUAAUUCCAAAACCUUGCAUACAACAUGGAUUGGAAUAAUAAAGCCUUUAUUAAUUGAUUUUGAUAUAGAUUGAAGUAAAAUGUCAAAAUUUUGUUAUUAACAAUAUCAAAAAUAAAAUCUUUGGAACAAUUUAUUGCUCAAGCCAUUGCAUAUGACAAUCAAAUAUUUGAAGGGCAUUAAGAAUAAAGAUUUGGUUGGAGAGGAAUAAAUCAAGUACUAACAACAGCUCCUAAGUUUUUUGAAACUUAUUCAUUAAGGCCAAAAUCAAUACAAAUUGAUAAGAUACAUUUUAAAUCUCUUAUUAAACAAAAACAAGACUUGUAGUUGUCAAGAAGGUUUGUAGCUAUAUUAUCAAGCAUACUAUUCAAUAUUAUCAAAAAAAACAACACAAUCAUAAAAUAAAGAGUAUGGUUGCCAAAGAAGAUGAUGUAUCAAAAAAUAAGUUUUUCCAACUAUAAUAAAGACCAUGUGGUUAGAAUCUUACACAAUUGUUAAUAAAUAUCCUAUUCUCUAUUUAAAUUCCUCACUUUAUUUUAAAAUAAAAGUAUUUUUAGGACCAUAAAAUCACAAAGUCUUAACCUUAUUAGAUUUUAGAAUCUUAUCAUGUUCUAUAAAUAAAGACUUUGUCAAAAAAUAAGAUAUAUCUUUAAUUAAGAAAAUCAAACCUAUACAUCUAGAAAUAAUAGAUGGUCGUUCAUUAUCUUUUAGAAAUACUACACAUAAAAUUAUUCCUAUAAAAGUAGCAACUAGUAUUUAUAAUAGUUUAAUAAUAUUUAAUGUCAUUAAAUUUUAUUUUAAUCUAAUUAUUUUAAGAUUAUCAUGAUUAGAUAGGUAUAAUUCUUAGAUAGAUUAAAUUUUUUGGGAUCUUGAUUUUUUCCAAAGUUUAGUUCAAGGUUCUACUAGGCAAGUAAAAAUCCAUAAGAUCAUUGCAUCCAAAUCAUUAUUUCUGAGUGCAAGAACUUUUAUACAUGCUGCAAAAAAAGGUUCAACUUUUGUUAUAUAUACCACACCUAUUUUUGACGGAAAAAAGAUUUUAAGUAGCAUUCCAAGCCAAUAUCAAGAUUAUUAAGAUAUCUUUUAAAAAAAAAAUGUAAAUAUUUUUUCAAAGCAUUAUUCUUAUGACUGUUCUAUUGAUCUUCAAGAAUGAGCUUAACCACCAUUUGAACCAAUCUAUAGCCUAUCAUAGAAUAAAUUAGUUUUGUUUAAGGAAUAUAUUCAUAAAAAUUUGGCUAAGAACUUCAUAUGCUAUUCUAAAUCUCCAAUUAAGUCUUCUAUCUUAUUUAUGAAGAAAAAAGAUAGAUCUCAAUAAAUGUGCAUGGACUAUCAAGGACUCAACAAGAUUACUAUAAAAAAAAUCCUCUAUUCUUGAUUUUAAGACUUCUUAAUUAACUAAAUUAAGCAAAGAUUUAUACAAAAUAGAUUUAUAUGGGGCAUAUAAUCUUGUAUGUAUUAAAAAAAGAGAUAAAUAGAAAAUUAUAUUUUGAAUAGAAUGUCAUAUCUUUUGGAUUCACAAAUGCACUAGUGUCAAGGACAAGAACUCAAUGAAAGCUAAAGAGUAAGUGAGACUUUUCUCAAAAAGAAAUAGGACAAAAUAGAAAUAUGUAUAUUAAGAAAGAAACUGGAAUGGCUAUUGCCAAAAUACAAGAAAACUAGAGACCCUUGAAACUAGACUAGAAGCAAGAAAGGAGUUGACAAGAGUGAAGAGGGCUUCACUCUUGCCUCUAUAUAUACUAUCUAACUAGAAGCCACGUGGCGAUGUUCUAUAAGACCUCCAAUAUAUGUUGACUUUCUAGGCCACAUGCCUUUGCUUGCAAGGCAAGUUUUCUAUGGAUGGACGACGUAGUUAGCUUGUUCUUUAAGCUUCCAACAUGUGUGGCACAUGGCUAACUUGUUGACCAAGUUUCUAACCUAAAAGUCAACUAUAGACUCCUAUAAAGUCAAAGCAGAGUCUAUGAAGCUUCUAAGAAGCUUCUCUAGAAGAUAUUAUACAAUUAACCUACUUUUAUCUACUUUUACAUACUUUUAUCUAUUCAUAUAGGUAAUUAUAUGUAUGUCCGUGACAUUACCCCCCCUUCUAGGGACGAGUUCCACGAGGAGCGGUGAUUAUAUAUUGAGAAAAUCUAAUAUGCGACGAAUUGUAUUUGCUACAUACUCUGAUCUUUGUUCUCUUCGAAGAUAGUUGAUGGGUCCUCUUAGCCAUCGAUAGUGUCCCAUUCCAGGGCGAGAAGACCACCCUGUUAUUUGAUCACUGUUGAGGCCUUCAUAACUUCCUUCAAAUAAUACAUUUGAAACACCAUCAGGAGUCGUUUCUAUCUCCAAUAAAAUCACCAAACAUCGAAAAUCUCUUCCAAGGUCGUGAUACCAAACGCGUUGUAUCUCACCAUCUAUUCGAGGAAGAACAUGUCGUUCUUGAGGGUCUUCAUCUCGGUUGCGUCGUCUUGAAGGUUGUGACAAUCGCAAUGUCUCAUCCGGUAAGUCAGCAAACGAAGGUUCUUGAGUUGAAUCCGCUUGUUGUUGGCUCUCCAUCUAAUUAGCGUCACAAAAUGCAAAGAAGUUACAAACAAGGAUAGGAAAUUGAAUGUUAUCUUGCCUCAAUCUUGUCUCUUUUAUAAGAGAGGUUUUCAUCUUGGUUUUGAUGGAUGUCGUUGAUGAAAAACUUUGACUUUAGUUGAUGCAUUUGCUAGAUUCCUGGAUGGCUCCCAUGUGCGCUCACUAAUAUCAUAUCCGCACCAAUGAACAAGAUAUUCCAGCUUAUUUCGGCGUCGCCUUGAGUCUAAUAUCUCUUCCACCUCAAAUUCUUCAUUAUUAUCUACUUCUAUAGGAGGCGGUGGCAUUUGUCUUCUUCCUUGUAUAUCCACUGUCUUAUAUGGUUCAAGAAGAGACACGUGGAAUACAGGAUGGAUCUUCAUUGACUCCGGUAGAUGUAACCGAUAUGCAACUGGGUUGAUCUGUUCAGAAACAAAAAAGGGGCCAAGCCUACGAUAGUCCAAUUUGUCACAAGGUCGAGUGGUCUUGAUAUUGCGACGAAGUAGCCAUACCUUAUCACCCACGUUGAGUUGUGGUUGCUCUUUACGAUAUACAUCUGCAUUUAUCUUUUGUCGUUCUUGAGCUUUCUUCAACUGCGCCUUCAUUAUUGCAUGUAACUCUGACAACCGAUUUGCCAUAUCUUCUGCUGCAGGAUUAUCAACUUUUGAAAAAUCAAAAGUAUCAAGUCGUGGAUGAUAGCCAUAAUUGGCAAAGAAAGGUGUUUGUUGCGUGGAGGAAUGUACCGUAUUAUUAUAAGCAAACUCUGCCAAUGGCAGAAGGUUUGUCCAAUCAUCUUGUUGGUAGUUGAUGGUACACCUUAAAUAUUGCUCCAAGACUUGGUUUACGCGCUCUGUUUGUCCAUCAGUUUGAGGAUGGAAAGCUGAAGAUAGCUUUAUGUCCACUUUUAAAAUCUUGAAAAGAGUCCUCCAGAAUCUCGACACAAAUUGAGUUCCCCUAUCCGAUAUGAUAUCUUUAGGUAAUCCAUGAUAGCGAUAGAUAUUAUCAAUGAAAAGCUUAGCUGUUUCUUCACCUGUGAUAGAUUUUGUACAUGGCAUAAAAUGUGCCAUCUUGGUGAAACGAUCUACUAUCACAAAUAUAGAAUCAUAAGAUCUUGAGUUUGGAAGAUCUGUGAUGAAAUCCAUAGAAACAGAAGACCAUGGUUGUUCUGGUAUAGGUAAUGGCUGAAGAAGUCCGUAAGGUCGAUGUCGAGGAAUUUUUGAUCUUGAACAAAUAUCACAUGAUUGUACAAAGUCUUUGACUGACUUCCACAUUUGUGGCCACCAAAAAUCUCUUGAUAUGAGUUCCAGAGUCUUAUUAUAUCCAAAGUGCCCUGCUGCUGGAAAGUCAUGACGUGCUUGAAGAACACGCAAACGUGCUUUUCCUUCUGGAACAUAUAGGCGUCCUUCAAAAUAUAAUAGAUUAUUCUUGAACUCGAACUUAGAAGAAUCAUGAGACUUGGAAGAAUUAUUCUCGAUAUCAUGAACAAGAGGGUCUGAGGACAUACUGGACUGGAUUUGCUUGAGAAAAGUUGAAUCAACAGUCAAUGUUGAUUUCACUGCUCGGAGAUGAAAUUGCUCUGGUUUCAAGAGGACCGUUCUUUGUUGCUCAAAAGCUGCAUCUCCUUCUUUUGGUGCAAAAUAAGAACGUCUAGACAGGGCAUCAGACAAACCUUGUUGUUUUCCUGGCCGAUAAGUGAUAAUGAAGUCGAAUCUUGACAAAGACAUACUCCAACGAGCUUGACGACGAUUCAACACGGGUGCUGACAUGAAAUACUCGAGGUUCUUGUGAUCUGUAUACACAGUGAUUGGACUAGAAGCACCUUCUAAAUAAUGACGCCAUUCUUGAAAGGAAUCCACGAUUGCAAGAAGUUCUUUAUCGUGGAUCUCAUAAUUGAUCUCGGCUGCUGAGAAUUUUCUUGAAUGAAAAGCUAUCGGAUGAAGUUUGUCAUCUGUUCCCAUUUGUGAUAAAACUGCACCCAAGGCAAAAUCCGAUGCGUCUGUUUCCAUAAAAAAUACCUUGGAAAAGUCAACACGAUAUAAGACUGGUGCAGAGACAAACGAUGUCUUCAAGGCUUCAAAUGCUGCUUCCGCUUCUUGAUUCCAUUGGAAUUUAUCUUUACUAGUCAAGCGUGUAAGUGGAGCUGCAACUCGUGAGAAGUCUUUGAUGAAGAUCCGAUAGUAAUUGGCAAAUCCCAAGAAACAUUGGACAUCUCUUACAGUCUUUGGAAUCUUCCAAUCCAUGAUUGUUUGGACUUUCUUAGAAUCCAUCAUAAGACCAUCAUUUGAAAUGAUGUAUCCUAAAAAGUCAACUUGAGUAGUGUGAAAUACACACUUUUCCAUCUUGGCGUACAAUCCUGCAUCUCUGAGUUUUUGUAAUACUUGACGAACAUGUAUUUCAUGUUCUUCAACAUUCUUAGAAUAAAUCAGGAUAUCGUCUAGGUAGCAGACGACAAAAUUGUCUAAGAAUUCACGAAAUACAUCAUUCAUGAGAUGUUGAAAAGCAGCUGGUGCAUUCGUGAGUCCAAAAGGCAUGACAUUAUAUUCAAAAUGCCAGUACCUGGUUCGAAACGCAGUCUUCCAUUCAUCUCCUUCUUUGAUCCGUACUAGAUUAUAUGCUCCUCUUAGAUCUAUUUUUGUAUAGAUCUUAGCUUGAUUUAACUGGUCAAGGAGUCCUGAUAUCAAAGGUAAUGGAUACCUGUUCUUGAUUGUGAUCUUGUUGAGUCCUCGAUAGUCAACACACAUUCGUAAAGAUCCAUCUUUUUUCUUUACGAAUAAAAUUGGAGCUCCUGCUGGAGAUUUUGAAUGGCGUAUGAAAUUCUUCGCUAAAUUCUCGUCAAUAUAUGUCUUGAGUUCAGCCAACUCAUCUUGCGAUAAACUGUAAAUUGGUCCAAAUGGUGGCUGAGUUCCUUCCUUGAGAUCGAUUGAACAAUCGUAUGGGCGAUGCUCAGGAAGAAUAUCUGCAUUCUUUUUCUCAAAAACGUCUUGAUAAUCCUGAUAUUGACUUGGAAUGCCACUUGAAGUCUUUACGUUUUCAGAAAUAGGUGCAGCAUAAAUAGCAAAAGUUGAUCCUUCUUUUGCUGCGUGUAUAAAUGCUUUUGCACCUAUAGGUGCGAGUUUUACUAUACUAGACUCAUGGUUUUUUACUUGGUUAAUAGAACUGUUACUAAUGCUCUGAGGAAAAUCAAGUUUACGCGAAAUCCAAUCUAUUCGAGGAUUAUACUUUUCUAACCAUGAUAAGCCUAAAAUUACUGGAUUAGAGGGAGAUCUAAUUAUAUUAAAAAUUACGCAACUACUAUGACCAUUUAUUACUACAUCUACAGGAAGUGUUUCGUGAGUUACAUCUCCAGAAGACAACGGACGACCAUCUAUGACUUCUACGUGUACAGGUUUAGUUUUUUGUAUUAAUGAUAUUCUAUGACAUCUAGCAAAUUCUUCAUCUAAAAAACAAGAUGAGGCUCUUGAAUCUACCAAGGCAGAGGCUUUGUAAUUAUUAGGUCCUAAACGCACAUCUAUUAUAAAACAAGGAGAUGGUUCUGAGGAGAGGAUAGGACCUUCAUUAGAAGUUGUACAAGAUUCCAGCCGCACGGUCCCUAUUGUAGCUGGACGUACUCGUUUUCCGACAUACUGUCUUCUUUGACAGCCGUACUCCUCAUUUUGUAGUUACGUCGCUUCUUUGGACAAUGUUGAGCAGUGUGCUUAGGUUCUCCACUAUAUAAGCACAAUCCUUCUUGUCGACGACGAGACUUUUCUUGCUCAGUAAGAGGUUUGAAACGUACCGCAUCAAUUUGCAUAUCCUCUACUUCUGAAGGUAUGUGUUGAGGAGACGUCGGUGUUGCCAUUGAAUUGUAGUAACGUUGAGGCCCACUUGUGCGACUCUCGGAUCAAAAUUCAAAAAGUCGAUUGUCGCACUUCACAGCAAAGUCAAUUGCUUGACUCAAUGUUUGAGGAUCAGGUAAAUUAAGCAUCAAUUUCUUUACCUCAUAUUGUAAUCCGUAGAGAAAUUGACUCACAAGUGCGGCAUCAUCCCACUUGAUAUCAGUUGCAAGUUGUCGAAAUUGCGAAGCAUAUAAUGUUACUGAUCGAUUGCCUUGUCGCAAAAUACGGAUCUUGUUGGUUGCAACACGAAUUGCAUCAUGUUCUCCAAACAUGGAUCGAAACUCCGCCAAAAAAGCCUCCAGAUUAUCCAAUAUUGGAUCUCGUCGUUCAAGAAAAGAUGAAAACCAUGACAAUGCUGAACCUGAAAGAAGUGUACCAAUGAAUCUAACUUGUGACCCUAGAGUUGGAUAGCUCUGGGGUUGAAGUUCAAUCACUAGUUGGACCUGAUUGAUGAAUCCUCGAAACUUGGAUCUGGUACCAUCAAACUUCUCGGGCAAGGCAACUCUCGGUUCUCUAACACUCGAACGGUGUUCCAUUCUGGGAGAAGGGACAUGGUUUGGUGCAGAUGUUGAAGCAGCCCCAAUCAUCUCUAUAUCUUCACUUCCUACCAUUCUUGUUGCUCCUUGUGGUGGAAAAUUGAGUUGAUGCAUCGCAAGCAUUAACUCCCUCAAUUGUUCUUGCAUCUGUGCCAUUGCACUCUUCAUUUCAACAAGCUCUGCCAUAGUAGCACUUAGAAAAGAGAAGAUGUCUAAUAACGCUCAAAACAAAUAGAAGAGAGGAAUUGAUAACAAAGAAAAUACUAAGAACAAUAUCAGUUUAAAAGAGGGUAAUCCGCAACUUCUAAUGCGCUUAUGUCUUAUCAAAAAAAAGGGGUAAUCCACUCUUAAUCAAGAAAAGACAAAGCUCUGAUAUUGUAAGUGCACUCUUGUCAAUUUGUCAAGGACAAGAACUCGAUGAAAGCUAAAGAGUAAGUGAGACUUUUCUCAAAAAGAAAUAGGACAAAAUAGAAAUAUGUAUAUUAAGAAAGAAACUGGAAUGGCUAUUGCCAAAAUACAAGAAAACUAGAGACCCUUGAAACUAGACUAGAAGCAAGAAAGGAGUUGACAAGAGUGAAGAGGGCUUCACUCUUGCCUCUAUAUAUACUAUCUAACUAGAAGCCACGUGGCGAUGUUCUAUAAGACCUCCAAUAUAUGUUGACUUUCUAGGCCACAUGCCUUUGCUUGCAAGGCAAGUUUUCUAUGGAUGGACCACGUAGUUAGCUUGUUCUUUAAGCUUCCAACAUGUGUGGCACAUGGCUAACUUGUUGACCAAGUUUCUAACCUAAAAGUCAACUAUAGACUCCUAUAAAGUCAAAGCAGCGUCUAUGAAGCUUCUAAGAAGCUUCUCUAGAAGAUAUUACACAAUUAACCUACUUUUAUCUACUUUUACAUACUUUUAUCUAUUCAUAUAGGUAAUUAUAUGUAUGUCCGUGACAACUAGCUACUUUUCAACAUCUAACAAAUGAUGUCAUUUAUGAAUUCUUUGAUGAUUUUAUCAUCUAAUAUUAUAAUAACAUCUUAAUCUAAUCUAAAAACACAAAAGAGUAUGAAGUUUAUAUUUGUUGUUUAUUACAAAAACUAAAAGAUACAAGAUUAUAUGCAAAGAUGAAAAAGUGUGUAUUUUACACUACUUAAGUUGAUUUUUUUGGAUAUAUCAUUUCAAAUGAUGGUCUUAUGAUAGAUUCUAAGAUGAUUCAAACUAUCAUAGAUUAGAAGAUCUCAAAAAUAAUCAAAAAUGUACAAUAUUUUUUGAAAUUUGAAAAUUAUUAUCAAAUCUUCAUCAUGAACUUUUUUCAAGUUGUUGCUCCUCUUAUAUGCCUAACAUAUAAAGACAAAAUUGAAUGGAGGAAAGAAGUUGAAGGAUCUUUUGAAGCCUUAAAGACAUCAUUUAUUUUAGUAUUAAUUUUAUAUUGUGUCAACUUUUUAAAAGCAAUCUUUAUAGAAAUAAAUACAUCAAACUUUGUCAUGGAUGUUGCUUUCUCAUAAAGAGGAGCAAAUCACAAGCUCCAUCUAGUAGUUUUUUAUUCUAAGAAAUUUUCAAUAGCCAAGAUUAAUUUUGAAAUCCAUGACAAAGAGUUUUAUUGCAAUUUUGGAUUUAUUUCAAAAAUGGCAUCAUUAUCUAAAAUUUUCUUCUAGUCCAAUUAUUGUAUAUGAAGAUCACAAGAAUCUUGAAUAUUUUAUGUCAACACAUGUUUUGAAUUAUCACAAAGAUUGUUGGAGCAUGUCUUUAUCAAAAUUUGAUUUUAAGAUUACUUAUCAAUCCAAAAAAAUAAAAAUGUUUGUCAAUGGCCCUUUAUAAACCUUCUUAUCUUACACUAAAAGAAGAAGAUACAACUUUUGAUCAACAAAGAAUAAUUCGCUUAAAACUAGAGCAUUUUCAUCUUUAAACAAUAUAAUCAAUAUUGACUAUUGAUUCAUCUUUUGUCAAACAAAUUCAAUUAAGUAUGUCUUUCAAUCCUCUUCUUCAUGAUAUCAAGAAUAAUUCUUUUAAUUCUCAAAAUACUUUCAAGUUUGAAUUUAAAAAUAAUCUAUUCUAUUUUAAAAAAUAAUUAUAUAUUCUAAAAAGCAAAGCACGAUUACAUAUAUUUUAAAUUUGUUAUAACUUUUUAAUAAUCAAAUAUUUUGGAUAUAAUAAAAUUUUAAAGCUAAUAUUAAGAGAUUUUUGGUGGCUUCAAAUGCAAAAGGAAAUUAAAGACUUUCUACAAUCAUGUUAUAUUUGUUCAGGAUAAAAAACUCCUUGUUAUUGACUUUAUGGACUUUUCUAGCCAUUACCUAUUCCACAACAAUCAAGGUCUUUUGUUUCAAUGAAUUUUAUUAAAAAUAUUUUAAUUUCAAGUUUGUAUGAUUUUAUAUUUAUUAAAGUAGAUCAUUUUACUAAAAUGUCACAUUUUAUACUAUGUAUAAAAUAUAUCACAUGUGAAAAAAAUAGCUAAGCUUUUUCUUAAUAAUAUCAAUUACUAUCAUGAAUUGUCUAAAGAUAUUGUAUUGAAUAAGACUCAAUUUGUAUCAAGAUUUAAGAAAAUUAUUUUAAAUAUUCUAAAGUUAGAUAUAAAGCUUUUUUUGACUUUUUAUUCUUAAAUUGAUAAAUAAAUAGAACAAGUGAAUGAAGUUCUAAAGUAAUAUUUGAAGUAUACCAUCAACUAUCAUCAAGAUGAUUGAACAACUCUUUUGCUAUUGGUGGAGUUUGUAUAUAAUAAUUCAAUAUAUUCUUCUAUUCAACAAAUACAUUCUUUUUUAAUUAUGGUUGUUAUCCAUGACUUGAUACUUUUGACUUUUCAAAAGUUAAUAAUCAUGCAACAAAAGAUUUAGUAAAUUAUUUGUCAAAGCUAUAUACAACAAUGAAGGCAAAAUUAACAAAAAGAUAAAAAUAAUAAAAGAUCAAUGUGGAUGCCUAUUGCAAGGAAAAACUACAAUUUAUUGUAGGUGAUAAGAUAUGACUACUUCAUUGCAUUAUCAAGACUAUUCAUCUUUGUAAUAAGUUGGACUAUUGUAGGCUUUGAUCUUUUUCUACUUAUAAAUAAGUCAAUCUUAUUCCUUAUCAAUUACAUCUACUGGAGUCUAUGAAGAUCUUAUCAUGGACAUAGGCAUGUAAGCCAAUAAUUACAUGUAUAAAUAGGUAUAAGUAAGUAAAAGUAGGUAAAAAUAAGUUAAUUCUAUAAUAUUUGGUAUAGAAGAUUCUUAGAAGCUUCAUACACAUUGCUUUGACUUUAUAGGUGUUUUUAAUUGACUUUUUGGGAUUAAAAACGUGGUCAAUAAGUUGGCCAUGUACCACACAUAUUGUUAGCUUGAAGACCAAGGUAACUAUGUGGCCCACACGUAGAAAAACUUGCCUUGUAAGUCAAGGCAUGUGUCCUACAAAGUCAACACAUAUUGAAGGUCCUGUAGAACAUUGCCACGUAGCCUUUAAUAAGAUAGUAUAUAUAAAGACAAGAGUGAAGCCUUCUUUACUCUUGUCAACUCUUUUCUUGCUUCUAGUCUAGUUUCAAGGGUCUCUAGUUUUCUUUUGGCAAUAGCUAUUCCAGUUUCUUUCUUAAUAUACAUAUUAAGUUAUUUCUAUUUUUUCAUCUUUCUUUGAGAGUAGUCUCACUUAUUUAUUUGACUUUAUCAUGUUUUUGUCCUUGACACAUCUAUUUCAUAUUCUAUAUAUAUAUUUUUUUAGCCAUAUAAAAUAAUGAACAUUUUAAAAUGAAGACAAAUGCUACCACGUCCUAUAAAAGUGGAUAUUAAUCAAGACUUCAAGGUGGAAGAAGAUUUAUAUUCAAGGUGAUGCCAAAAUAUAGUGUCUCAAAAUAUAUUAUUUUAAUGUUGACAUAUUUUAGAAAGAAUAGUAUAUUACAAAUGAAUUGUAGUGAAUAAUGACAUGUGGUUUGUAUAGCAAAUAAAGUAUUCUUUUAUAGCUAUCAAAUGAGCCCAAAUUAAAAAGAAUCCAUUAAAUAAUUAGAAAGCUAUGACCAAUCUAAUUUAGAAUACUAUUAAAAUAAUUUUUUGAAUGUAGGAUCUAAUUUUUGGAUUCUAUCAAUUACUCAAUAUUAUAAUAUUCUAUCAUUAUUAGAUUUACUAUAAAAAUAUUAUUAUUAAUCUAAUAACAUCAUUAAUGCUCACUAGCAGUUAUAAAAGUACCAUUCUUAAUCACAAUUUCUAGUAUGGACGUAUUUCAAAUUAUCACAUUUUAGUACCUUCUAAAAUCUUCUACAAUAUUUUAAAAAAUUCCAUAGGCUUUUGGAAGCCUCUUUAGACUUCUAAAAGCUUCUAUAGAUUUCUAAAAACUUCCAUAGAAAAUACCAUAGACUUUUAUAACCUUCAUUAUAGUAUAAAUAGAAGUUUUUUGAACCACUUUUGCUAUUAAUAUUAUUCUUUGUCUUUAAUCUUGAAAUAUUUCUUUAUCAAAUCCUUGAUAAUUCUUUAAAUAACUUUGAGAUAUAUUUUUUACUCUUUCCAAGACAACAUCACAUCUACACUUCUUUAUUCUCAAAAAUCUUAUGGCCAAAUUGCUUCUGAACUUAGCUGCUAUAAAGCUAUUAUCUCUAGGGUAGCAAAAAAGAUUACUUUUAAUUAGGCAGAUCAAAGAAAUUCACUGCAGUAGAUAAAAAGGCAAUUAUUUUCCAAAUCAACUCUUAAAAGGCUGAAAAUAUUAUUGAGGUUGCUAAAAAAUUUAACAAUAUUAUCAGUAAUCUCCUACCAAUUCAAACCAUUCAAAAUAUUCUUAAGAAAUGGAAUAUGAAAGUUGUUGUGAAAAAAAAAAAAAAAAUCCACUAUUAUUUACUUACUAUUGAAAAUAAUGCUUGGAUUUUGCUUUAAAAUACAAGGAAUGGACUAUGGAAAAUUGGAAGAAGAUUAUUUGAUUAGAUGAAAAAAAAUCAACAGAUUUUGAUCAGAUGGCAAAAAGUGGAUGUAGAAACAAAAGGGUCAAUUCUUACUUGACAAGAAGAUCCAAGAAACAAUUAAGCAUAGAAGUAGAAAUAUAAUAGAAUGAGAUUAUAUGAGAUGGAAUGGAAUUAAAAAGAUAGCAUAGGUUGAGUGAAAUAUGGAUGCCAAGCAAUUUGUAGAAAUUCUUGAAAAAGAAUCUGCUCCCUAAAAUUUAAGAAUCUCGCAUAUAUGAGGAAGAGGUAAAUUUUCAGCAAGAUAAUGACCUCAAGCAUAACUCAAAACUAACAAAAAAGUGGUUUGUUCAUCAUAUGAUUAAAUUAACAAAUUGACAUAUUCAAUCUCUUGAUCAUAAUUCCAUUGAACAUCUUUGGGAGCACCUCAAAUGCCUACUCAACAUUUGGAAGAUAAAAUCAAUGGAAGUUUGGAAAUUAUGAAAAAAAAAAUUGUAGAAUGAAAUAAUAUUGAAGCAAUUUUGUGCCAAAAGUUAAUAAAAAGUAUGUAUAGGAGGUUGGAAGUAGUUAUCAAGGCCAAAGUAGGUCUUACAAAGUAUUGAUAUAUAUUUGGAUACCACAUUCAAAAAAAUAUUUCAAUACUAUUCCAAAUUAGAUUGGUCAUAGUUUUACAAUUACCUAAUGGAUUUUUUUCAAUUUAUACUCAUUUGAUAGCUGUAAAAGAGUAUUUUAUUUCCUAUACAAAUCAUAUCUCAUUAUUUAUUACAACUCAUCUAUAAUACAUCAUUCUUUUUAAAAUAUGUCAACUUUGAAAUAAUUUUUUAAAUCAUUGUAGGUUAGAAUAUCUUGUUCAUUGGCAUGGAUAUGAUAUCAAUGAAUGCGCAUGGGAGCCAACAAGUUUUUUUGCAAAUGCAAAAAAAAAAAUUGAAGCUUUUUAUUAAUAAUAUCCAUUAAAAUCAAGAUUAAGAAUAAAAAAAAUUUAUUAUAAAAGAAACAAGAUUAAAAAAAUAUAGCAUUCUACUUUCUAUUCUUGUUUGUAAUUUUUGUACAUUUGUGAAAUUAAGAAAAUAGAGAAUCAAAAACCAAAAAAUUCAACUCAAGAGCUAUUAUUUAUUGACUUAUCAGAUGAGAUAUUGUAAUUGUUAUAACCUCCAAGAUGACAUAAUCAAGAUAACACAAUCAGAAUGAAGAUCUUUAAGAAUGAUACGUUUUUCUUUGAAUAGAUGGCAAGAUGUAACAUGUUUGGUAUUACAAUAUUAUAAGAGAUUCUUGAUGUUUGGUGGUUUUAUUAGAAAUAAGAAUGACUCUUAAUGGUAUUUUAAAUUUUUUAUUUGAAAAAAAUUACAAAGGCCUCAACAAUUUUCAAAUAAUAUGGUGGUCUUUUUUGCCUUGAUAUGAAAUACUAUCAAUGGUUGAAAAGACCUAUCAACCAUCUUCAAAGAGAACAAAGAUCACAGAAUGUGGUAAUCACAAUUUGUCACAUUUUGGAUUUCUUCAAUAUGUGAUAAUUGCUCCUUGUCGAUUUUAUUUCCAAAAAAAGAGAUAAUAUCAUAGACAUACAUAUUUAUUUAUAUGAUUAAAUAAAAGUUGAUAGAUAUAAAAUUAUUUCAUAAUAUGUUUUAAAAAAAAUUCCUAGAAGCUUUAUAAAUGUUGCUUUGAUUUUAUAUAUAUUUGUAAUUAAUUGGUAGGUUAGAAAAUUGUUCAAUAAAUUAACCAUAUCUUGAUAGCUUACAAAACAAGCUAAUUAUAUAGUGCACAUAUAAAAAACUUGCCUUGCAAGUUAAGAUAUGUGUCUUACAAAGUCAAUAUGUUUUGGAGGUCCUAUUAGGCAUUGCUACAUAACUCUUAUUUAAGAGCAUAUACAAAGGCAAGAGUGAAGUCUUCUUCAUUUUGAUUAAUGCCUUUCUUAUCUUUCAUCUUGUUUCAAAACUUUCUGAUUUUCUUGUCUUUGAUAAUAUUCAUUUUAGUUUAAUGUUAUAUCAUCUUUGAGUGAUUUUUUAAUUCUUUUGAGUGACAUAAGAGUGUAUUUAGGAUUUCUUUCUUUGAAUUUCAUGUCCUUGAUAAUUUGAAAUUGUUAUAGAUCUUCAAAAACUUGUCAAUAUUCUAAAAUUAGAAAUCUCAUAUAUUUUCAAUAUGAAUUAUGAAGUAUUAUUUUUACGCAUAUGGAACAAAUUAACAAUGAAGUUCAAAGUCUAUGCCAAGAAGAAAGAUCAAGCUUAUAACUAAAUCCAAUUUUUUUUUGCUACUACAAGUAUAAUAGAAGCAAUAAUAAAUAUGGUCAAGAAAUUUGAUGGAAAAAAAUCAAAGUUUUAAGGAAUUCUACAAAAAUAUAAAAUUCUAAGGUUGCAUCUUUUCUAAUAACUUGAUUGAUUUACUCAAAUUGGAUUCAUUAAAGUCUUUUUUUUUACAAAUGUUAUUGUAUUAUAUGAAGUCUAUUUAAUAAUUUACCAGAUACAUUGUUGUAGAAAAAAAAAAUAGAACUUACAACAAGAUGAUCCUAACAACUCUAAUAAAAUCCUUAAAAUAAUUUAAUUAAAUUAUAAAAAUAUUAACCAAUCUUUAAUUAAAUCCACAAAAAGUUUCAAGAACUUACAAAAGAAAUAUAAAAAAAUCAUAAAUUAAUCUUAAUAAAAUACAUACAAUAAAAAAAUCUUAAAAAAUAUCAAAAUAAUAAAUCUUAAUUGAAUUUUAAUUAAAUACUAAUGUAAUCUUCCAAAAUUUUAAUAAAAUUUUAGACUAAUUUCAACCAAAACUUUAAUGAAAUCCUAAAUUUUUAACAAAUCUUAAUCAAAUUUUAAACAAAUUUUAAUCAAAUCUUAAUCAAAUCUUAAUCAAAUCUUUAAAAAAUCCUAAUAAAAUCCUAAGUAAAUCUUAAAUUCUAAUCAUAGAUCAAAUUCUAAUAAAAUCAUAAUAAAUCCUAAAAAAAUCCUAAAUCUUAACUUCAGACCAAAUCCAUAUGAAAUCUUAAACUUUAAACAACUUAAGAAAAUUUCAAAUAAAUUUCAUUCGAUUAUUAUAGCUAAUUGAAACCUCAAUAAAUAUUAAUUGAACCAUAUAUCUUGACUAAAAUUUUACUUAUACUUCAACCAAUAAACAAUUAAGAAACAUAUAAAAUUUAAAAAGAAUCAAACUUAUCAAUUAUAAGAAAAGCUUCCAAAACUUCUUAGUUAUUGAUGGCCUUUCUUCUCCCACUUGAAUGCUGAUCUUUUAACAUUGAUUUUUCCUUAUUGAAUCAAUUUAUUUUUCCAAAUAUUGGAUUUUAUGUAUAUAUUCAAGUCUUAAGUGCUUUCACCAAAUUUUGCUUCAAUUUAAUCAGCUAAUAUUGAUAGAUAUUGAAAUCAUUUGCUAAUCCUAAAUCUCAUUUUUUAAAAACUAUAAUCCAUAAAAAUUAUUAUAUUCUUCAAUCUAAUAUCUUCAUUGACUUCAAACAUUUCACAUACAUUUACAACAAGUACAACAAAAAAAAUUCCAAUUUUUAUUAAUACACAUACUAUAAAACUCACAAAAUCUUAAAAUUUGUAAAUUUAUUUUACUUUUUAAAAUAUAAAUCUAUCAAGUACAUCAUUAACUUUGAAAAGCCCUCAAAAUAUCAAUAUUAAUUUUAAUAACAUGAAACCAACACUCAAACCUCUUCUCUCAAGUGUGCUUUCAAAGCUUAUUCUUUAAUUUGCAAAAAAAUGUGAAGUCAUUGUAGGUGCUCGAUUUUUUGCCUUGGAGUCUAAUUUUGACCUUGGUUAUCAAUUGAUCCUCUACAAGUAUCAAUUCUUAUCUUCUUAAGGUAAUUUUUUCUAAUAUCAACUUCUAAUUUUUUUUUAUAUAUGUCUAUAUUCUUGAUUUCUCUUAUCUAUCUUAUUUUGCCUUAUUUAUGGUUCUAUAAAAUAAAUAGAAAUCAUUUUUAUAAAAAAUAAUUCUAAUACUAAUAGAUUUUAUUACUUGCCUAUCAUUUAUCUAUAUUUUUACUAUAUAUUUUUAUUUAGGUUCUUCUAUAAUAAAAUAUUUUCCUUCUUCUUUCACUUUAUGGCCCUAUUAUUAUACAAUAGUGCUCUUUCUUCAUUUGUACCUUUGAUAGAAAAAGAUUCAUGGCUAUUUAUGAUCUGAAUUUAUUUUUAUAAGUAUUUAUGGCUAUAUUUAUAAAAAAAAUUUGAAAAAAGGUAGCAAAGUACAAGCUUGUAUCUCUACAAUAAAGAUCAUAUUUAGCCACUACAUAUAUUGUUGAAUUUCAAAAUCUUACUUAUGACGUGGAUUGGAAUGAUAAAGCCAUUAUUAAUCAAUUUUGAUAUAAAUUGAAAGAUGAUAUUAAAUAUUUAUUUUUGAUAAUACCAAUAAUAGAUUUAUUAGAGUAAAUUAUUACUCAAGUCAUUGUAUAUGAUAAUUAGUUUUUUAAAAGAUACUAAAAAUAAAUAUUUGAUUAAAGAUGUACAAAUUAAGCCAUAGAAAUGUUUUUAAAAUUUUUGAAAGCUUAUUUAUUAAGGCUAGAGUCUAUGCAAAUUGACAAGGUAAAUUUUAAACCUCUUACUGAGCAAGAAAAGAUUUGUCAUUGUUAAGAGAGUUUAUACUUAUAUUGUGUAGAAGCUAGGCACACUACUUAAUAUUUUCUAAAGAAGCAACGCAAUCACAAAAUAAAGAGCAUGGUUGCCAAAGAAAACAAUAUGUUGUAAAAUAAAUUUUUCUAGCUACAAUGAUGACCAUGCAACUGGAAUCAUGUACAACACUUAGUACAAGUCUUAUUCUUUCAUUAGAUCUCUCAUCUUUUUUUACAAUAGAUAUAUAUUUAGGACCAAAAAAUCACAAAUUCUUAGCUUUGUUAGAUUAAAGAGCCUUAUUAUGUUUUAUAGACAAAUAUUUUGUCAAAAAAUAAGAAAUAUUUUUAGUUAAAAAAAACCAAACUUGUAUAUGUAAAAGUAAUAGAUAAUUUCUUUUGUAGCUAUAAAAAAAGACUCAAUUUUUGUUAUAUAUGCCACACCUAUUAUUGUUGAAAAAAAGAUUUUAAAUAAUAUUUCAAGCCAAUAUCAAGAUUAUUAAGACAUUUUGAAAAGAAAAAUAUAGAUACUCUUUUUAAACAUUAUCCUUAUGAUUAUUUUAUUUAACUUCAAGAAAAAGCUCAACCACAAUUUAUACCAAUCUAUAACCUAUCAUAGAAUAAGUUGGAUGCACUCAAGGAGUAUAUUGAUGAGAAUUUGGCUAAGAAUUUCAUAUGCUAUUGUAUUCUAUGAAGUCUUGCUCAAGAAUGCAUCAGUCACCUAGCUAUAGAAGAUAAAAUCAAAAUUACUACAACAAAAUCUUAACUCUAAUAGAAUACUAAAUAAACUCUAAUUAAAUCUUACUAAUGUUAAACAAGAUUUGAUCAAAUUUAAAAGAAAAUUUAAAGUAAUUACAAUAGAAAUAAUAAGAAAUCUUAAUGGGAUUAAAAGAAAAUCCUCCAUAAACCUUAAAUUUUUUUUAAAGAAAUCCUAAAAAUAUUAGAAUAAUUACAAAUAUAUCUUAAAUAAAUCUCAAAAAAGUUCCAAUUUAAUCCUUGUUGAAAUCUUAAUGAACUUCAAUCAAAAUCUAAACAAAUCCUAAAUUCUAAACGAAAUUCUAGACAAAUCCUAAACACUAAAACAAAUUCUAAAAAAAUCCUAAAUCCUAAAUCAAAUCCUAGAAAAAUUCUAAACCAUAAACCAAACCUUAGAAAAAUCUUAAAUCCUAAAUCAAAUCCUAAACUAAAUCCUAAUUCUAAAGCAAAUCGUAACCAAACCUUAAUCAACUCAAUCUAAUUCUAUUACUGUUUAAAACCUUAAUAACUAUCAAUUGAGUUAUUGAUAUUGCUUAAAAAUUUACAUACUUCUCAAAAAUUAAAUUAGUAAUAAGUAUAUGAAAUUUGAAGAUAAUCACAUAUACCAAAGGGAAGAAAAAUCUUAAAAUUUUCUCGAGUAUUGGUUGGCCUCCUACUCCAAUCUAAAUGUUGAAAUUCCAGUGCCAAUAUCUCUCUUUUAAACCAAUUAAUUGUUCUCAAAUUUCACAUAUGUAUAACAAAUCAAGUCUAUUACUUUUAUAAAUAAAUUUUACUCCGAUUCAAGUAGUAGAUUGCUAAAGAUCUUAGAAACUCUAACUGCCUUUUAAAGUCCAAUUUUUGAGAUCUCAACCUACUUGAAAUUCAAUAACCUUCAAUUCAAUAAUUUUAUCAAGCUCAAACUUACAGCAUAUACUCUAGACAAUUAUUUUUAUAAGUCUUCAAAUUUUGAAUCAUAGAUCUAUUACCAAAUUCAUGAAAUUCUCUAAAUUAUUAUAUCCUUUUUUAUUUCAUAGAUUCUAUAGUCACCUAAAAGAAGUGUGACUUUACAAAGCUCUUACAAAAUCAUUACAUACUCAAAUCACUUAAAAUCAUGCCUAAAGAAACUUUUUUAAGUCUAUUCCUUAAUCCUACUUAUUGAUCUGCAAAAAAAUCCCCAAAUUACUAUAGGUACCUAAUUUUAUGCCUCAAGGUCUGAUUUCAAUCCAUAUUGAUAACUGGUCCUCUCCAAGUAUCAAAUUUUGCCCUUUUGAGUUAAUUAUUGCUAAAAUCAAUUCUUUACUUCCUUAUACUUAUGCUCAUAUUCUUUAUUUUUCUAAUCUACUUUGUUUUUUUUUUAUUUAUUUAUUUAUGAACUUACUAAGUAAAUAGAAGCUUACUUUGUAAAAAAGUAGCAUUUACAUCUUUAAUUUUACCUUCUUUUUGGACUAUUGUCUAUUUUUUAAGAUAAAUUGUUAUAAUAUUUGAAGUAAGAUCUUCUAUAAUAUAAUAAUUUUUUCACCCUUUUUACCUAUUAGUCAUAUUAUAUCAUGACAUUCACCCCCUAAACUUGUGCAUCUUCCAACAUGUGCCAAUGAUUCUUUAAUAUAUUAUUAAAGUAUUCUUUAUCAUGGUUAGAUUCUUGAUCUUCAAUUUUCUCUUCUUCUUCUAUCUUAUUGUCUUGUAAUGGAUUUUAUUCUUCGUCAAAAUUAAUAUUUUUAUCUCUUUGUUUAAAUAACUUGAUUAUCUUCUUUACUAUAGGUAUCUUUAUUUUUGUACCAUUAAGUUCUUAUAAAAAGUAUGUUCUAUUGUUGUAUACUUAUUUGACAACAUAAGGCCUAAACUAUCUUCUUGUAAAUUUUUUUAUCGUGCUAUAUUGGUUGUCCAAACUACUAUCAUAAACCAACAUCAAAUCAUCAUUUUGAAUUAGUUUUGGAUAUAAUUGAUGUUUUUUGUCAAAUCUUUCUUUGUUUUUCUCCUUUUCCUCUUUGAACUUCUUUAUAGCUUUCUCAAUGUCCUCAAAUUUUCUUUUAAGUUGUCAAGUUUGUAAUGCUAAUAAUUCUUUUUUUCUUAAACCAUCUUCUUGAGGUAAUAUAUUCUAUAUUGGCAUCAUUGAUUUUUGUCCAUACAUCAAUUCUGCUACCAUGUAUCAUAUAAUUGUACUAUGAGUUAUGUGAUUCGUCUAUAAUGCAAAUGAUAAUAACUUAGGCCAAUCACCUAUCUUGCCUUUGCAUACUUUAAUCAAUGCUUUAACAAUUGGAAAGUGUCCACAUUCACUGUUGUUAUUUUUUUUUAGAUUAUAUGUGGUUGUUACUACGACUUUAAUACCCAUCUUCUCAAAGAAUUCUCCUACUUUAUUUGCAUCUAAUUUCCUUCUAUCUAUAGUAAUUUUUCUAAUAUAAUCAUAUUGACAAAUAAUUUCCUCUAAUAUAAACCGAUAUACCUCUUCCAAAGGCUUUGUUCAAAAUGCUCUUCCCUCCACUUGAUUUAUCAAAUUCUCUUCAGUAAGUAUCAAAUAUUUCUUUUGUCCAAAUUCCAUUGGUAUUACAACUAAAUCAACUAUCAAUUUCUAGUGAAUUGCUAAUGGAUAUGUUGGAUGCAAUCCAUCUCAAUGACAAAUGUUUGAAUAUAUUUGACAAAUCUCACUAGAUCCUAUAAAAUCUGCCAUAUUUUUAUAUAUGCCCUUUCACCAAUAUUUUUCUUUUACCUUUGCAAAUAUUGCCCAAAUGCCUCAAUAUCCGGCCUAUCAACUUUCAUGAAAUUCUUUAAUGAUAUUUAGUUGAGUAUGAUAGCUACAUAUAAUCCAUUGUGGCACUCCGCUCCUUUGCUUUGGAUGCUUCUAUAAAAAUCCAUCUUUAAAAAAAUAUCUAUAAGCUUUCCUCCAAAUUCUUUUAAACUUAUAAUUUGCCAAAUCUUCUUGCUGCUUUAAUGUACUUAAGUACUUUUUAAUAUGCAACCAUUCACCAUCAUAUAACUCUUUUGAAAAUAAUUCAAGUAGUUUAAUUAAAUACAACUCAUUCCUUCUUGCACACAAAGUUGAAUAAAAGUCCGUGCCAAUAUUUUCUUCAUCAUAUCAUGCUCAUGACAACAUGUCUGCAAGCACAUUAUCUUUUUUAAAAAUAUGUUUGAAUUCUGGAUUCAUAGACUUUAUUUAUAUAAUCCAUCUUAACAUUGAUAUAUCUGAUGUAGAAUAAUUACUAAUCAUGCCUAAUAAGCAUAAACAAUCUAUUUCUAUAGCUAACAAUGUAUCAAUCAAGUAUUCUUUUUUAUUUUUCAUAGCCAUUACUAUACAUUAUAAUUUUUUUUUAACUUGUGCAUAUACCUUCUGCUUAGCAUUCAAAAUCUUUGCUUUAAAUCUUACUACAUAUUUAUUUCUUUGUUCAUCAUCUUGUCUAACUAUUCAACCUAUUUCAAUUAGACUCAUAUCAACUGUUAAUAUCACUGACCUUCGACAUUCAUAAUUUACUUUCUUCAAAGUUAGAGGUGAAGAAAGAAGUUCUUUCAAUUUUUUCAUAGUUUUUUUUUGUUUCCCUUUCUAAUGAAAUUUUUGAUUCUUUUGUAACAACUCAUCUAAUGGAUCUGCUACAUAUGCAAAAUGAGAUAUUCAUAUAUAAUAAAAAAUACAUGCUCCUAAAAACCUUCAAAUUUCCGUUGUGUUUAUGCAUUCUUUCAACUUUUUAAUAAUAUUAAUAUUUUUCAUACUUGGCUUGCGUCCAUAUCAUCCACACAUGUAUCCUACCACCAAAACUUUUUUUUAUCCCAAAUAUUGAUUUUGUCCCUGAUAAGAUUAAAUAAUUUUUUUCUAAUCUUGUCAAAAUCUUCUCAUAAUCAUCAAUAUGAUUUGCCACAAACUUCCUACAUCCUAUUGAAUCCAAUAUCUCAUCUUUUUUUUCUUCUUAACAUCCUUUAAUAGUACAUCAUCUAAAAAAUAAAUUAUUAUUUUUAAAAUAAAUUCUCUUAAUAUCUUAUAUAUUCUAUUCAUUAUGUGUGCCAUAGAAUUUGUAACCCCUUGAGGUAAUAUACACAUUCUGACUAAUCCUAAUGGUGUCUUUACAAUUGUUAAAUUCCUACUUUGCAUUGCUAAUUGAAAUUACUCAUAAUCUAAAUAAAGAUUACUUAUUAAAUAGAUAGCUCUUCUAGCAAAUGCUUCUACAAAUUCAUCCAUAAUUGGACUUGAAUCCAUAUUUCUAAUAGUCACUUUAUUCAUAAGUUGGAUGUCUUAUAUAAAUCUCAUUGUUUUAUUUUUCUUUGGCACUAUAAAUCAUCAAUUAAAAUAGGAUACCAUUGAUAGUUCUAAAAUCCUCAUUUUAAUUUUUUUAUUGAGUAAAUCUAUUAGCUUAGAUAAAUGUGCUCUUGGUACUAAAAUUAGUCACAAAUUUCAUAGUUCAUGAGGAAUAGUAAAAAAAACCAUAGGUGUUGCAAUACUUAGAUCGACAUAUCUAAUUUCAUGUGCCUCCAAUGCAGAAGCCUUUCUAUGUCGUCUAAGGAUAUCUUUAAAAUAUAUUUUUUCAAAUUUUGUCAAAAAUCCAUCAUAUCCAACAUUUAAUCCAUGUAAUGUAGUAUCCGUAAAUUCAUGCCCUAUCUUCCUACGAUCCUUUAAAUUUAGUUGUGUAGAUGCUCCAUUUAUCCUUUCUUCAUAAUCUGGUAGUAGUGGCAAAGUCAUUGGUUUGACAUUUUUUGCGAUUGAUUAUACUUAAUUUCAACAUAUUGUUGUGACGUAAUAUGACUAUAUAGAGAAAUUAUAAUCAAAAUUAAAUUUUUAAUUAAUAUGUAAUUAUCUUAGUUCAAUUAUAAUUUUAGGUGUAUAAACAUGGCUUUCAUAAAAGCCUCUUAGGUUAUUUUCUUAUCUUAAUAGUUAAUAAGUUGAAAGUUGGUUAGUAAUUUUACCUUCUAGAUUGUAGAGACACUUCUACUACCUUAAAAAGCCCAUAAAUUGAUAAAAUCAGGUUAAAAGAGGUAAAUAAUUAAUAUAGUUGGUACUAGGAUUAAGUUGAAAGUAGGGUUGGACUAAAAAAUCUUUAGGAUAGGUUAAAUUGAUACCCGGGGGUCGGCCAUUUGUGAGACAAGGUUGAAAUCAGACCUCUCACCACAAAAAUGACGGCCUAGGGCAAAAUAAGGAUUCACUCAAAGAUCGAAGGAUAGUAUUUGAGAGCUAGCUUGAAGUUCUUUCUAGAGACAUAAGGAUUUUUUUUGGAAGGUUUUUGAAAAUUGAGAAAUUGUUCAAAGUCAGGGUUUGUAUUGGUGAUUUGGGUUUUAUAGAAUAUAACUAGGGAUAGCAAUUUUGGCUAGUUCAUGUAAUUAGUCUCACAUCUAUGGUUGAAAAUUUGGUACUAUUUGGAUUAUUAGGUGUGCUAAGUGUAUACAAAAUUUUGUGAUAAUCUAAUGGCGUGCUUUAGAGAUAUCUAGUUUUUAGUGUAAGAGGGUUUUGGAAGUUGGCAGUUUAAGGUUGGGUAGGAUUUUUGUGAUAUAUGGAGAUCAAUGAAAUGGAUUAAGGUGAAAUUUUGCAUGGUAUUGAAGGACUUGAAGAUCAAAUUGCACACCAAUUUUGAGUCAAAGUUAAUGGUUGGAAAGGGAGAAAUCACUACUGGGAUUUCUACUUCACUUUUUAAGUUGGUGGCCAAGUGACAUCAGUGCAAAUUUCGGAGGUUUUCUCACAAUUUAUAAGUUGGAUUGGGCUAAAAAUUCUUGAGCAUAUAGAAGACUUACAUUGACUAUUGCAUGCAAAAUUCCACAUCAAGUGGACGGUCGGAUUGGAUGUUAUAGCUUAUGAAAGCUCACUAAUUAUAGUUGGGGCUUAUAAGAAAAAUCUAAAUUACUUAAAUAUGAAAGUAACAAGAUAAUUGGGAUUUAUGUAUGAUUAAGGCUAAUAAGAAGAGUAUUUUUAGCACUUUUGAAUUGAAAUUCAAAUUAUAUUCUUCUUGUAUGGAUGAAACCUAUUAGGAUUCUUGAAUUCUUGUGAAACACAACCUCACCUUCCACAGUUAGGUGCCUGAUGCAUUCCCAAGGAAGACAACACAUAAUAUGAUAAUAUACCUCUUGGCAAUUUAAAUUUUCUAUAAAUCUAUAGAUUUCAUCAUAAAAUUCUUUAGAACAUACAUUAAUACAUUUAUUCUCUCCUUGCAAUCUAUCUUGCGACAAAUAAUUUAAUUUUCCCAAGAUAUCUGCAAAUGCCACUUCUUCAAAUGUUCCUAAAAUAAAUUCAUUUUCAAUCAAUUCUCCAUUUUUUUUUUCCAAUUUUUGCUCAAUAUUUUUAACAUAUUGUUUAUCCAUCUUCUUCAUCUUAUCAAUAUUCUUAAAAGAUAAUACACAAUUUGGUGUCAACUCAAUCAGCCUAGUAAAUAAUAUUUUCUUUUUAUACUUAGAGGGAGCAUCUUUUUUCUUAACCCAUUGCAAUCUUGUUUUAUAAUGGUGUGGUGAAAAUCCCUCACAUGUUCACCUCUAAAUUCUCUAGUAACCUUUGGCAAAGGUUGCUCUCUCAAACUCCCACAAUUUUUGUCAUGAUUAGCACAUACUGUCCAAAAUUGCAUCAUUUUUGUUCUAUCUUGAUUCCAAGCAUAUGUCAAUCUAUUGUCCUUAAUCUUUGUUUCCAUGCAAGUAGCCGUAAUAUAAGGUUUUUUUAGAAUGAUAGGAUAAGUAGACAUAUCUUGCACAAAGAAGUUUUUCUCAUCACUAAUAUCUCCUAUUAUAACCUAUUAUAUUGAGAAAAGACAUCCUUCUAGAGUGGAUCUCACUGAAAACUUAAGACAUAUGUGCCCUAAGGUCAUGGUCGAAUGUCUCAGCUGUGGGGCAAAGAUCCCAAUGAAGUCCAGCCUGAGCGAUGCCUUGAGGGUAGUAUAUUCAUCCCUGUAUCUCCAUCAGUAUUUCCUGCUUUCCAGGCUUGUAAUUCGUGUCCUGCCUUAUCCCCAGUCCAGAUAGGUGCAUAAACUUUCUUCUGGGUGAUAAGUAUAUUGACUGAUGCCGAACAUUUGCACUGUUUAGCCAGGCUGGUCCUCGCAUCUGCAUUGGCAUCAAAUCGGCGGCCUUGCAUAUGAAGAUGGCCACGGCAGAUUUUUAUGUCGGUUGUCAAGUUCAGAAUUGAUGCGUGGUCACCCUGUGGAUUGCCAACCGACCGCCAACUUUUCCAUACAAAAAAGAACUGCACUGGGUAGAGAGAAGGCAAUGUUUAAAUAAAUGUGUCCCUCGUUUGUUUCUACCCCGCCUUCAUCACAAUAACAAACUUCGUGUGUAUCAGAAUUAGUUCGGAGUUAUGAAAUUUGUAUCUUCAAGCACAAAAAUAGUUCGUGAAAAUCUAACAAAUUUUUAUUUUAUUUAUUUAAUUAUUAAUAACUUGAAUGUGAAUACUAGAUAAUGCUCUCCAGCUUGUAAAUGUCCAUUGUUUAUAUUUUCAAUAUUUAUGUAUACGUGCCAUUCAUUAUACGUAUAUUGAAAAUAUUUAUGUAUACGUGCCAUAUACAAAAGCAUUAUUAAUUGUUGAUUCAGGGUAAUUUAAAAUUAGCAUAUGCUUGGAAGACAACAUAUACUAAAUAAUCCGUACACGGGUUUAGGAACUUACCUCUCAACUGCAAUACAUCGGAGCAAAAGAUGGAUAGCAGAAUAAAAAAGGUGGUUUACGGUGUGUGCUAUACCAAAGCUAUCAGAACUAGGGAAUUAAUUAUAGGGGACUCCCAUUGAAUUUACUGUGAAGGGAAACACUUGAACCUAUGACAAACAUAGAUGAGGAUGCAAUACAAGCUAAUCUUAUCAAAGUCCUCUAAUACUUAAUUACAGCUGGAUCAUAUUUGCUAAAAAUGAAAUAAUGAAUUUAUAGAACCAGAAUGUCCGGGAAAAAAUACGAUUCUAACAUUAUCUGACAUUGCCAACGAAGAAGCUUAAUCAUUCUAAGCAUUCUAGGUAAUGCUGAUCUUGACCAAUGUCAAUGCUUCGACCUACACAAAUAGUCUACAAUAAAUACCUGCUUUCAAUUACCAACUAAAAAAAAAAAAAUCCAGUGGGAGACACAACAGCAAAUGAAUUCAGAAGCCCUCAAUAUCCGUUCUGAGACAACAACACAGAUAUGUAUAUGUACACGAUUAUUCGUCUGAUAACCAACAUCCGUUCUAUCGAGAUUGUGAAGAAUCAACGAGGUGCUUAAGAGUGCAAGGCAUCUUGUUCCACAUAUUCGGUUAGCACAAAUUUUUAGAAGUCAGCCUCAUGAAAGAUAAAUCAAAAGAAACAGCAGGAACCACUUACGUUAAUUGUCAAGAACUCACACUUCCCAACAUCUUCCACAUCCCACCACCAGCAUUCGCAGGUUGAUGGAAGACGUUACGAGCCCACCUCAUGUAAUGUGGGCCACAAAGCCGACAACCCUCAUCUGACAAAGCAAUGCCCCAAGACAAUCUGUACAAAAGGGAUCAAUGCCAUCAUGUAACCGUGCCAUAAAAAAGAUCUUCCAACUUGACUCAUUCAAACCCUGCGAUUCCAUAUAUCCUUGUAAUCAACCAGGUGUCAGACAACGACAUCACAGCCAGCACGCGCAAUAAAAAGUAGGCCACAACUAUAUUCCAAGCAUAAUCGAGUAGCUGACAAAUGCAAACCAACGAACUUACCCCAAACGGCUUACUACGGCAGUACCCUGAAACCGUCAAAUUUUCCAAGGAAACUAUAACAAAGAAAUGUGUGUAUUUAUAUGAAUGCUCCACAGGCUUGAAAUUUUCAAACUACAUUGUACAUAGGACCAACCAGCAAAACUAAGGAUCAAUGUGUCUUCCUAAACCAACUAGAAGUACAUCGAGGAUUCCUUCCAACAAGAAGACCUACUGCAACUGAUCAAGCUCAACAAUGUCUGCACCACAUAUCACUUCCACCUCCUCCGUCUCCUACUCUCCAUUACCCAUCCCCCCUUCCACCCUCCAUUCCAAUCAUCACCAUCCACAUCCACAACUCUCUGCACGCCAAAAUGUAAUUCUCCAAUAAAUAUAACCAUAGCACCACCUCGUCCCUAAAUCUGUUCAGAAUCUAGUGAUUACCGUAUCUCUCUCCAUGGUGCACAUCUUAACCAUGUAGUCUCCACUACUUUACUACACAACAGAGUUCUGAAAAAAUCAAGUGGUAUCGGACAUUCCAAUUCCUACGCAACCAAAAUAAACACAGAAGACCGCCUCCUACCCACUGCUUCCUCUAACUCUCGGCCCUCCCCCUCCUCCCCUACCCCUUCUCCUACACCACACCUACUGGCAGGUCACUCCAUUCCCAUCCGACCACUCGAUCGGCUCCUCGCCGCCUGUGGCUCCACAUUUCUGGACCAUGGUCAUGCAGCCAAAAUCCUGCCGCCUUUACUUUAACACUAGGUCGACACGCCUGCGCCCAUCCCAACACAAUCCCAUCGUCAGCCCCGCAACACAAAUCCCGCCACAAAUCACCCUCCCACCACCACUUCCUUCACGCAUCGCACGCACCUACUACCCGCCCCACAUCUCUACCCAUCAUGCGCUACCUCGACACCGCUCUUACCACUACUCUCCACCAUCU